GAUGAACGCUGGCGGCGUGCCUAAUACCUGCAAGUCGAGCGAACGGACGAGAAGCUUGCUUCUCUGAUGUUAGCGGCGGACGGGUGAGUAACACGUGGAUAACCUACCUAUAAGACUGGGAUAACUUCGGGAAACCGGAGCUAAUACCGGAUGAUAUUUUGAACCGCAUGGUUCAAAAGUGAAAGACGGUCUUGCUGUCACUUAUAGAUGGAUCCGCGCUGCAUUAGCUAGUUGGUAAGGUAACGGCUUACCAAGGCAACGAUGCAUAGCCGACCUGAGAGGGUGAUCGGCCACACUGGAACUGAGACACGGUCCAGACUCCUACGGGAGGCAGCAGUAGGGAAUCUUCCGCAAUGGGCGAAAGCCUGACGGAGCAACGCCGCGUGAGUGAUGAAGGUCUUCGGAUCGUAAAACUCUGUUAUUAGGGAAGAACAUAUGUGUAAGUAACUGUGCACAUCUUGACGGUACCUAAUCAGAAAGCCACGGCUAACUACGUG
This 497-nucleotide ribosomal RNA is filed under the name uncultured bacterium. RNAcentral's name for it is "partial 16S ribosomal RNA". It matches the Rfam family "Bacterial small subunit ribosomal RNA", at positions 28 to 507 of the family's 1533-position model. The record is from RNAcentral.